GGAGGGGUGGCCGAGAGGUCGAAGGCAGCGGUCUUGAAAACCGCCAACGGGGUGACUCGUUCGUGGGUUCGAAUCCCACCCCCUCCGCCA
This 90-nucleotide transfer RNA is filed under the name Thermoleophilia bacterium. Its description in RNAcentral is "tRNA-Ser". It matches the Rfam family "tRNA". From Rfam's summary of the family: Transfer RNA (tRNA) molecules are approximately 80 nucleotides in length. Lineage: Bacteria; Bacillati; Actinomycetota; Thermoleophilia. RNAcentral also lists the same sequence under 2 other names. The record is from RNAcentral.